Molecule: ribosomal RNA, 54 nt
Filed under: Eleocharis quinqueflora (fewflower spikerush)
Lineage: Eukaryota; Viridiplantae; Streptophyta; Magnoliopsida; Poales; Cyperaceae
Description: partial 28S ribosomal RNA
Source: RNAcentral
GAUACCCCAGGUCAGGCGUGACCACCCGCUGAGUUUAAGCAUAUCAAUAAGCGG